UGGAUAGACAGGUCAGUGCAAAGCUG
RNAcentral lists this non-coding RNA (26 nucleotides) under Homo sapiens (human). The record is from RNAcentral. Lineage: Eukaryota; Metazoa; Chordata; Mammalia; Primates; Hominidae.